RNAcentral lists this ribosomal RNA (465 nucleotides) under uncultured bacterium. RNAcentral's name for it is "partial 16S ribosomal RNA". It matches the Rfam family "Bacterial small subunit ribosomal RNA", at positions 28 to 507 of the family's 1533-position model. The record is from RNAcentral.
GACGAACGCUGGCGGCGUGCUUAACACAUGCAAGUCGAACGGAAAGGCCCUGCUUGCAGGGUACUCGAGUGGCGAACGGGUGAGUAACACGUGGGUGAUCUGCCCUCCACUUCGGGAUAAGCCUGGGAAACUGGGUCUAAUACCGGAUAGGAGCCAUUUUUAGUGUGAUGGUUGGAAAGUUUUUUCGGUGUAGGAUGAGCUCGCGGCCUAUCAGCUUGUUGGUGGGGUAAUGGCCUACCAAGGCGGCGACGGGUAGCCGGCCUGAGAGGGUGGACGGCCACAUUGGGACUGAGAUACGGCCCAGACUCCUACGGGAGGCAGCAGUGGGGAAUAUUGCACAAUGGGCGCAAGCCUGAUGCAGCGACGCCGCGUGGGGGAUGACGGCCUUCGGGUUGUAAACUCCUUUCGCUAGGGACGAAGCUUUUUGUGACGGUACCUAGAGAAGAAGCACCGGCUAACUACGUG